Molecule: ribosomal RNA, 492 nt
Filed under: uncultured bacterium
Lineage: Bacteria
Description: partial 16S ribosomal RNA
Rfam family: Bacterial small subunit ribosomal RNA
Source: RNAcentral
AGUGAACGCUGGCGGUAGGCCUAACACAUGCAAGUCGAACGGCGGCACAGUAAGAGCUUGCUCUUACGGGUGGCGAGUGGCGGACGGGUGAGGAAUACAUCGGAAUCUACUUUUUCGUGGGGGAUAACGUAGGGAAACUUACGCUAAUACCGCAUACGACCUACGGGUGAAAGCAGGGGAGCUUCGGACCUUGCGCGAUUGAAUGAGCCGAUGUCGGAUUAGCUAGUUGGCGGGGUAAAGGCCCACCAAGGCGACGAUCCGUAGCUGGUCUGAGAGGAUGAUCAGCCACACUGGAACUGAGACACGGUCCAGACUCCUACGGGAGGCAGCAGUGGGGAAUAUUGGACAAUGGGCGCAAGCCUGAUCCAGCCAUACCGCGUGGGUGAAGAAGGCCUUCGGGUUGUAAAGCCCUUUUGUUGGGAAAGAAAAGCAGCAGGUUAAUACCCCGCUGUUCUGACGGUACCCAAAGAAUAAGCACCGGCUAACUUCGUG